This 73-nucleotide transfer RNA is filed under the name Cordylochernes scorpioides. Its description in RNAcentral is "tRNA-Phe". Lineage: Eukaryota; Metazoa; Arthropoda; Arachnida; Pseudoscorpiones; Chernetidae. The record is from RNAcentral.
UGCCGAAACCCGGGAUCGAACCAAGGACCUUUAGAUCUUCAGUCUAACGCUCUCCCAACUCAGCUAUUUCGGU